AGCUUAUUGUUUUUUUAUUUUAAGUGUUUUCUGCCCGGUGUGUAAUAAACGGCCGCGGUAUCUUGACCGUGCAAAGGUAGCAUAAUCAUUUGUUCUUUAAUUGAGGACUGGAAUGAAGGAAAGAAGUGAGAUUGAUGCUGUCUCUUUUUUUGUUUUAGAAUUUGCUUUUUUUGUGAAGAAGCAAAAGUUUAGAAAAAAGACAAGAAGACCCUAUUAAGCUUUACUUUUUGUUUUUAAUUGUGUGUUGUUAGUUAAUAAUCUUUUUAAUUUGACAUGUGCAAAGUUUAGUUGGGGCGACUAAAAAGGAUUAUGAAGCCUUUUUUUGUUUUUGUAACUUUAAGUUAAAAAAUGACCCAGAAUUUUCUGGUUUAAAGAAUUAGUUACUGUAGGGAUAACAGCGUAAUUUCUUUGUAAAGUUCUUAUUGAAAAAGAAGUUUGCGACCUCGAUGUUGACUUUUUAUUUCCUUUUAAGGUGCAGGGGCUGGAAGGGUUAGUCUGUUCGACUAUUAAAAUAAA
Molecule: ribosomal RNA, 516 nt
Filed under: Nemertea sp. RCMBAR1019
Lineage: Eukaryota; Metazoa; Nemertea
Description: partial 16S ribosomal RNA
Rfam family: Bacterial large subunit ribosomal RNA
Source: RNAcentral